RNAcentral lists this ribosomal RNA (664 nucleotides) under uncultured bacterium. Its description in RNAcentral is "bacterial SSU rRNA". It matches the Rfam family "Bacterial small subunit ribosomal RNA", at positions 8 to 718 of the family's 1533-position model. The record is from RNAcentral.
AGAGUUUGAUCCUGGCUCAGAACGAACGCUGGCGGCAUGCCUAACACAUGCAAGUCGAACGAAGCCUUCGGGCUUAGUGGCGCACGGGUGCGUAACGCGUGGGAACCUGCCUUUAGGUUCGGAAUAACUCAGAGAAAUUUGAGCUAAUACCGGAUAAUGUCUUCGGACCAAAGAUUUAUCGCCUUUAGAUGGGCCCGCGUUAGAUUAGAUAGUUGGUGGGGUAAUGGCCUACCAAGUCGACGAUCUAUAGCUGGUCUGAGAGGAUGAUCAGCCACACUGGGACUGAGACACGGCCCAGACUCCUACGGGAGGCAGCAGUGGGGAAUAUUGGACAAUGGGCGAAAGCCUGAUCCAGCAAUGCCGUGUGAGUGAUGAAGGCCUUAGGGUUGUAAAGCUCUUUUACCCGGGAUGAUAAUGACAGUACCGGGAGAAUAAGCUCCGGCUAACUCCGUGCCAGCAGCCGCGGUAAUACGGAGGGAGCUAGCGUUGUUCGGAAUUACUGGGCGUAAAGCGCGCGUAGGCGGCUAUUUAAGUCAGGGGUGAAAUCCCGGGGCUCAACCCCGGAACUGCCCUUGAAACUGGAUAGCUAGAAUCCUGGAGAGGCGAGUGGAAUUCCGAGUGUAGAGGUGAAAUUCGUAGAUAUUCGGAAGAACACCAGUGGCGA